RNAcentral lists this ribosomal RNA (274 nucleotides) under uncultured bacterium. RNAcentral's name for it is "partial 16S ribosomal RNA". It matches the Rfam family "Bacterial small subunit ribosomal RNA", at positions 523 to 796 of the family's 1533-position model. The record is from RNAcentral.
CUACGGAGGGUGCAAGCGUUAUCCGGAAUCACUGGGUUUAAAGGGUGCGUAGGCGGCUCAAUCAGUCAGGGGUGAAAUCUUGCAGCUUAACUGUAAAAUUGCCUUUGAUACUGUUGAGCUUGAAUUAGGUUGAGGUUGGCGGAAUGUGACAUGUAGCGGUGAAAUGCAUAGAUAUGUCAUAGAACACCAAUUGCGAAGGCAGCUGGCUAGACCUUAAUUGACGCUGAGGCACGAAAGCGUGGGGAGCGAACAGGAUUAGAAACCCCGGUAGUCC